ACUCAAAUGAAUUGACGGGGACCCGCACAAGCGGUGGAGCGUGUUCUUUAAUUCGAAGGUAAGCGAAGAACCUUACCAGGGUUUGACAUCCAUGGAAUUUUUUCGAAAGAAAAGAGUGCUUUAUUGAACCAUGUGACAGGUGUUGCAUGGCCGUCGUCAGCUCGUGUCGUGAGAUGUUUGGUUAAGUCCAUUAACGAGCGCAACCCUUGUAUUCAGUUGAAUUUUUCUGAAUAGACUGCCCCGGUAACGGGGAGGAAGGAGGGGAUGAUGUCAGGUCAGUAUUACCCUUACACCCUGGGCUAGAAACACGCUACAAUGGCCGGUACAAAGGGCUGCCAAGUCGUGAGACGGAGCAAAUCCCAUCAAAGCCGGUCCCAGUUCGGAUAGCAGGCUGAAACUCGCCUGCUUGAAGUUGGAAUCGCUAGUAACGGUAGGUCAGCACACUACCGUGAAUACGUUCCCGGGUCUUGUACACACCGCCCGU
Molecule: ribosomal RNA, 484 nt
Filed under: uncultured bacterium
Lineage: Bacteria
Description: partial 16S ribosomal RNA
Rfam family: Bacterial small subunit ribosomal RNA
Source: RNAcentral